This 252-nucleotide small nuclear RNA is filed under the name Castor canadensis (American beaver). RNAcentral's name for it is "7SK RNA (ENSCCNG00000017123.1)". It matches the Rfam family "7SK RNA". From Rfam's summary of the family: 7SK was discovered as an abundant small nuclear RNA in the mid-70s but a possible function has only recently been suggested. Lineage: Eukaryota; Metazoa; Chordata; Mammalia; Rodentia; Castoridae. The record is from RNAcentral.
GGAUGUGAGGUGAUCUGGCUGUGACAUCUGUCACCCCAUUGAUAACCAGGGUUGAUUCAGCUGAAGAGGACGACCAUCCCCGAUGGAGGAGGACCGUUCUUCGGUCAAGGGUAUACGAGUAGCUGCGCUCCCCUGCUAGAACCUCCAAACAAGCUCUCAAGGUCCAUUUGUAGGAGAACAUAGGGUAGUUAAGUUUCCAAGACUCCAGACACAUCCAAAUGAGGCACUGCAUGUGGCAGUCUGCCUUUUUUU